Molecule: long non-coding RNA, 6166 nt
Filed under: Macaca mulatta (Rhesus monkey)
Lineage: Eukaryota; Metazoa; Chordata; Mammalia; Primates; Cercopithecidae
Description: lncRNA (ENSMMUG00000057055.1)
Source: RNAcentral
CGGUUAAUUUCCAAUGUCGUCCCCUUUCAAAACACGAUCUUACGGCGGGACGAUAUGUACACAUCUUCCUGUGGCCAGCAGCAGUGAUGGCAACGCUGUAGGCACCUCCUUCCCUUAGGAAAAAGCCAAACAUUUCACGAAGUCCUUCUGUGCUUUUAGAUGAAACUGGAAAAUGACCUUCAUUGGAAAAGUCCCAGUCCUCGGGGAGCAGAUCCCCCAUCUCUGGCAGUGCAGUGCGCCUGGGCGCUGUCUGGAACAUUCCGCAACAGUCACUCCUCUGCCCUGCAUUGGCCUUGACCACAUGACCCAGAGGCACAGGGAGAAGCCUCCCCUGGAUGCUUGGUGAGUUGACUUCAGCGGCUGAGAGUGUCUAAGGAGAGCCGGGAGCACCACACGCUUCCUGCAGAUGGUGGGGCAGAUCUGUGUGCAGGAGUGCCUGAAGGGGAUCUCCUGUGGCGCUGCCUGGUCCAGGGAGGUCACAGAGUGCUCCUCCACCCUGAGCACAAGGGGUCCCACCAAGGACAAGGAUGAGAUUCAGCAGCAUCGCACGCAGAACAGCUGCGUGGAGCCACAGGUCACUUUCCCAAAAGGGAGUCUCCAAGCCAGAAGCCAUCCCUGCAGCGUUGUCUUCGUGCUCCAAGAGAAGCCCUGGCACACACUUCUGCUCAGAUGGAACCACUGUACCCUCAGCGUCCUUGUCAGUCCCAGCCGGUGACUUUCCUACCCAAACCCUUCCCUCACUCCCUGCCUCAUUUUCUCAAGGUGCCGUGUUUGCCUGAAAGGACAUUUGCGGCCAGCAGGGGUGGUGGCUGGUCCUCUAGCUGGGCACGAAUGCCACUGGCGGGCAACCUGGCAGACUCCAUGGAAAGGUGCUUCCCUUCCUCAAGGUAUGCACUCAGCGGGGAGACCUCAUUGUCAAGUUCAGAGUUACGCUGCAGACUGCACAGCACCUCGCCUGCUUCUAGGACCUGCUCUGGUCAGCCCCGGACCCGCCACAGCAGGACCCCGAAUCCUGUGCUCACCCAGGGCUUGUCCAUGGCACUGGAAACUCCUUCCUGUUCCUGAUCCCUUCUGGGUGAGGGGUGGGCAGGGACAUGUGGCUCGUGCCGAGGUCUAAUACUGUGUUCCCAGCAUGGAAGUAGGUGCCCUGAAGAGGAGUGGGGACACUUCUUGUGGCAUGCAGGAUUCCGUGUAGAAAGCUGUGACUGUCACCCCUCCUUCCCACUCGGUUUUGUGAGUGGACCUUUCCCUGGCCUUUCUCUCCUUGGCCCACUCUUGGCAGGAGAGAGGAGGAGAGGAUCUCACUUUCCCCUGCACCAGCCACAGCCUCGGUCUGCGGGGUUCCCAGCAGCUGGCCAGGGCCGCUCCACACCUGGUGGUCAAGUAACCAUCCCCUCACUGUGGACAUCUGCACCCUCUCUGGAGUUGGAACAGGAAAGAAAGCCAAGACCUUUAAGUGGACCUUGAGUUGAGACUCAUUUCUGUGGAGUCAGGGGUGAGGAGGAGCCAGGCCUCCUGUGUGCUCUCCAUACCGCAGAGCCGGGUGCCCAGUUCCAUGGGUCCUGAUGGACAGAAGGGAACAGCAGGGAGACUGCUGCACCGUGGGUGGCAAUGCAGGGGCUGCCGUCUCCAGCUGAGUGCCCAGGGACUCCUGGGGGCCGCUGGCCCUGGAUCCCAGCAGUGGGUCCUGUUUCUUCUUUCCUAUCUGAAUGCAGGGCCCGCCACCCCCAAACGUCCCCUCCACAUUUGGUGAAAUAGGAAGCUCCAUGGCUCUUAGCCAUCUUUCAGGGUGACUGAGAGAUUGGUUUUCACAGAAGCCUCAGUGGCCUGGUCCGUGUCCCCCUCUGCACGCGGGUGCAGAAAGUGAAGGAUUGUCAGGGAGCGGGGCAGACAUUUGGUUUAUCUAUGUCGUUGGUCAAAGUUUUGUUUUUCCUCCAGAAGAAAAAGGCUUCUGGACAUGCCACCGUGUUCUUCAUUCCUUCUUUUGGAAAUGUAUGAAGAACGGGUGGUAUGUUGAGUGAUUGGUCCGUGAACAGUUGGCCCAGAGGAAGAGGUAGAUGUGGAUGGGUGUGGCCGCCUCUGCCCCUCCCCAGUGCAGGUGGGUGUGGGCAGCCCAGGCAGGCGCUCAGGAAGGGUGAGGUGGAGCCUUGCACACUCUGAGCACAAAGUCCUGGGAUCCCUUAAACCCAGGCGCUGCCUCGACGGCAGCCAGCAUGGCUGAUAGAAGAGACACAGAAGUCCAGCUGAGGCCAGACAGAGGGCGCCACUAGAGAGCCGCGCUACGUGGGGUCAUUCAAGUUGUCUCGGUGUAUGCAGACGUUGCUUCUAGAGAGUCAGAAGCUCUAUAUGCCUACUGUUGGAGCAGAAUUUGGGAUAGUGAUGGAAAGCCUCCUCCCAAGCCAGCUAGGGAGUAUGGGAGGUGGUGGCCGGAGGAACCUGGCAUCCCCGGGUUACGGCCACGGAGGUGGCUGUGCCUGCAGCUCGGCCUGUGCGUCAUCCUGACUCGCCCUGCUUUGGCCAUGGCUCUUCUUGUCCUUCCUUCUUCUCAGUGCAGGAGGACCCUGAAUCAAAUGCCUCAUCCUGGUUUGCAUUUUACCCUUGGAUGAAGCUUGUGGUGAACCCCAGGGCUCUGUGUCUCCUGAGUCUCUGCAGACCUCGGGUCCUGGGCCCAGAGACUCUUCUCCCUGGGGCAGGAGGCACUGGGAUGUGUGGACGGGGGUGUCCUGGGGCACAGUAGCUGACGGAGGGACUUCCUAGCUUUCUGGGCCUUUCCGACCCUGAGUGUGACCUUCCUAUUCUUGAUCACAGCCCCAACCUGGGAGCCUGCUGGAACCUGCAGAAUGCGGCUUCAGCCUGUUCCUCUGUGAGAAAAGGUGGGCCUGGCAGUCCCACAAAUCUUGUGUGUUCACCUCGGUGGUGAAUACAUUCUUGGGUGGUGAAUACGUUCUCUCCUUGCCUUCACUCUGGAAAAGGCCCCUGUUUGGUGAUGCAGGAUGUGGUCAAUGACUGACUCGUUCUUCAGAGUGUCAAUAUCCUCUGGACCGUAUACACAGCUCUGAUUUCUGGUGUUCCUGGGCUCUGCACACAGCAAGAGCCACUCUGGGCCUGUGAGAUGCAUCUUCUGGCUCACUUUCUUCUUGUUGGCUCUUUUCCCUGCAUCCUCUGCCACUGCUCUGUUCUGGGCAGGAGGCUCUCACCCUCUCCUGCCUCCCCUCUUUGAUCCUUUUCUGUGAGGGUCUGCUGGAGUCCUGUGUGUCGUGCAUCAUUGAUAGAUUCUGGUCGUGCUUGCUGUCCUCCCCAUUCUGAGGGACCUCUGAUUGCCUGUGAGCAGUUUACAGGGCCUCUCCUGGCCCCUUCACCCACAGCAUUCCUUCAACGGGUGAAUAUUUGUGAGGGGCGGAUCCUGGAAGUGACGUCAGGUGAGAAGGGAAAGUACAUUAACAAAGUACAUUAGCCCGGGGAGUUACUAAUGCCCGAAAUGUAUUGUCAAAGUUCUGAAGGCUGAGAAGUCCAAGAUCAAUUGCCUGAGGAUUUAGUGCCUGGUGAGGACCCAUUCCUUAGGGCAGUGCCUCCAGCUGUGUCCUCAUGUGGCCGAAGGGGACAAGGGAGGUUGCUGGAGCCUGUUUGAUGAGAGCACUAAACCUCCUUCAGGAGGAGAUUAUUGAGAAUGUCCGUCUGGUUUCAGGGCAUUCCCAAAGGCCCCACCUGUUCUUUCUACCCCAUUGGGAAUUAGGCUUCAACAUAUAAAUCUGGGGGACACUGACAUUUAGGCCAUAGCACGUCAAAGACAAAGUGAGGUUGAGUGUGGAAAACAUCCCAGAAUCUGGAUGUGGCCCAGACAGAAGGAAACUCAAAGUGAUGGGGUGACCGAUGGUCCCUGGUGUGUGUAGGACUCAGCGGUGAGGACGGCCCUGGGCACGGUGGCAGUGACUGUUGGAGGAUGAUAGGGAAUGUGUUGGCGGGAGGAGGGUGGAGCCCACUAUGAGUGGCAACUCCCUGGGGGUGCAGGAAGCAAAGCUACAGGCGACUCCCCUCUGCCCUCCCUGCACACAGUGUCACCUCUGUGGUGGCCCUGUCGUCCGCCUCAGUGCACAGGUGUUGCUGUAACAACUCCUGAAAUUACCUUCAAAAGGAGGGUUGUGCAGGUGCCUGCAGGAGACAGGAGGCUGCAGUGCAUCCUGAAUGUCCCGGGGACAGGCGAGCCUGGCAGGGGUCCACGGCCUCACAGUCCCAACGACUGCCUCAGAAACGGGCAGAGAGCAUGCUUGGUUCCAGCUUGCAGGGCCCGCAUCUCAGAGCUCUGGACAGUCAUCAAGAGUCCAUGAGCAUGAAGAGGGGACAAAAAUGAACCAGGAACCUCAGGCCGCUGUGCUGCCAUCCAGCCACGUGCAGCAGCAGCCCUUCGGGCCUGAAGAUCCUUCUGCCCUUCUCUGGGCCUUGCUGAUUUCCUCCUCCAGCCCCGCAGUGUGUGCGCUCACACACACACGCACACACGCACACACAGUGCAAUUUCCCUCUGCUCCCCUGUGCUCUUCAAAAUUCACUGGGUUCCUCUUUCCUCCUCAGAGACAUAGUCCUGGGCCCCAUCUCAGCCUACAGAGGCCUGAACCUUUCCCAGGAUCGUUUUCUAAUUCUCAUGUCUUGCGCAAAACAAAACUAAAACUAAAACGCUUUCUGAAAGGAAUAAUGCACCUAGUCCGGGUAUCUAAGCAUGUGGUGUGUAUGUUGUCUCAAACUGAAUACCUGUGAAACCACCACCUGUGCCGAAACCCAGUGUUUCCCAAGACCUAGAGGCUCUCUCCAGUUGCUAAUUGUGAUCACCUCUCCCGAUCACUGCUGAGCCCUGAAGGUCACCCUCUCCUGACCUAUUACACCGCUGACUGCUUACACAGGGCACAAUUCUAUACCUUUGCUGUUGUCCCAUCUAAUCAUCCCCAUAACCCUAUGAGAUCAUCGUUCCCAUAUGACAGAGGAGAAAGCUUGGGGACACAGGGGCUGUGUCCUGGCCAAGGCAUUGCUGGCAGCAAAAGGCAGAGCAGGCAUCCAGCCAGGAGCCCCAGCACAGUCCUGUUCUUCCCCCACUACACUGGGCUGUGAAAUAGAUCAUGGCAGUUUGGAAAACGGGCUAACUUCAUGCUGCGGGAGGUGGUGACGGAUGCCCACUGCUUUUCAUGGGAAUGUGUGGUGUCUCCAUGUCCCCCUCAGGUCUAGCCUCUCUCUGUGGCUCAAAACCUUGGGAAAGUGGGAGGCUCAGAGCAGGAAAGGGACUUACUUGCCCAAGGGCCACAGCUGCUACGUGGCAGGUAAGGGACCAUUAUUCCUCUGUCCCUUUCACAGAGGACAGGAGGAAAGUGAGGCCAGGUGGGUACAUGAGUUUAGCCUCUUUUCUGCAGAAGGCCCAGAUCAGCUUUGGACACAUUUGGUGCUGACCUCAAAUUCAGCCCUAGAGGGGCCUGUCUCUGCCCUGACUAUUGCGGUGCAGGCUUCUUCCCCUUUGUUCUGUCCAUUUCCAAAAAUGUGAACACACACCUCCUACAUGUUUGUGUAUAUUAUUGUGUGCAUAGAUAUUACCAUUGUAACAUUUUAUGCAGAUUAAAAAUGCAUUAUUGCAUUGAAAAUUUCAAAGGAAAUGUGUAAUAAAACAUUAAAAAUUAAUUUAUGUUUUUAUUGUCAAUGGACAUAAUCAAGUUCUCUGUAAAAUAUUAUGGCUUAAAAGGUAAUAUGAGCCAGGCACGGUGGCUCAAGCCUGUAAUCCCAACACUUUGGGAAGUGGAGGUGGCUGGAUCACUUGAGGUCAGGGGUUCGAGACCAGCCUGGCCAAUAUGGUGAAACCCCCGUCUCUACUAAAAAUACAAAAAAUUAGCCAGGCAUCGUGGCAGCUUCCUGUAAUCCCAGAUACUCGGGCAGCUGAGGCAGGAGAACUGCUUGAACCCGAGAGGCAGAGGUUUUGGUGUGCCAACAUUGUCCCAUUGCACUCCAGCCUGGGCAAUAAGAGUGAAACUCCAUCUGAAAACACACACACACACACACACACACACACACACAACAAAAAAUAAAAGGUAAUGUGGAUAUUAAUAAUGUUUCCUCAACAGGAAUGAUGGAGAAUACUCUAGUUUUCCUCUAGGCAUUUAAUUUUUGAAUUUCUGCCUUGGGUAAGGUAUUCUUG